Molecule: ribosomal RNA, 429 nt
Filed under: Verrucomicrobiota bacterium
Lineage: Bacteria; Pseudomonadati; Verrucomicrobiota
Description: Verrucomicrobia bacterium partial 16S ribosomal RNA
Rfam family: Bacterial small subunit ribosomal RNA
Source: RNAcentral
UAGGGAAUCUUCCGCAAUGGACGAAAGUCUGACGGAGCAACGCCGCGUGAGUGAAGAAGGAUUUCGGUUCGUAAAACUCUGUUGUUAGGGAAGAAAAAAUGUAUAGUAACUAUAUACAAAAGAGACGGCACCUAACCAGAAAGCCACGGCUAACUACGUGCCAGCAGCCGCGGUAAUACGUAGGUGGCAAGCGUUGUCCGGAAUUAUUGGGCGUAAAGCGCGCGCAGGUGGUUUAGAAAGUCUGAUGUGAAAGCCCACGGCUCAACCGUGGAGGGUCAUUGGAAACUAAUAAACUUGAGUGCAGGAGAGAAAAGUGGAAUUCCUAGUGUAGCGGUGAAAUGCGUAGAGAUUAGGAGGAACACCGGUGGCGAAAGCGGCUUUUUGGCCUGCAACUGACACUGAGGCGCGAAAGCGUGGGGAGCAAACAGG